This 77-nucleotide transfer RNA is filed under the name Erysipelotrichia bacterium. RNAcentral's name for it is "tRNA-Lys". It matches the Rfam family "tRNA". Rfam says of the family: Transfer RNA (tRNA) molecules are approximately 80 nucleotides in length. Their secondary structure includes four short double-helical elements and three loops (D, anti-codon, and T loops). Further hydrogen bonds mediate the characteristic L-shaped molecular structure. tRNAs have two regions of fundamental functional importance: the anti-codon, which is responsible for specific mRNA codon recognition, and the 3' end, to which the tRNAs corresponding amino acid is attached (by aminoacyl-tRNA synthetases). tRNAs cope with the degeneracy of the genetic code in two manners: having more than one tRNA (with a specific anti-codon) for a particular amino acid; and 'wobble' base-pairing, i.e. permitting non-standard base-pairing at the 3rd anti-codon position. Lineage: Bacteria; Bacillati; Bacillota; Erysipelotrichia. The record is from RNAcentral.
GCACUCUUAGCUCAGUUGGUUAGAGCACGUGACUCUUAAUCUCGGGGUCCAGGGUUCGAAUCCCUGAGAGUGUACCA